RNAcentral lists this ribosomal RNA (253 nucleotides) under uncultured bacterium. RNAcentral's name for it is "partial 16S ribosomal RNA". It matches the Rfam family "Bacterial small subunit ribosomal RNA", at positions 524 to 776 of the family's 1533-position model. The record is from RNAcentral.
GACAGAGGUGCCAAGCGUUAGGCGGAAUCACUGGGCUUAAAGCGUGUGUAGGCGGGUCGUUAAGUACCUUGUGAAAUCCCACGGCUCAACCGUGGAACUGCUCGGUAUACUGGCGAUCUUGAGCCACUUAGGGGCUACCGGAACAAAUGGUGGAGCGGUGAAAUGCGUAGAGAUCGUAAGGAAGACCAGUGGCGAAGGCGAGUUUCUGGACAGUUACUGACGCUGAGGCACGAAGGCCAGGGGAGCAAACGGG